GGUCCCUUAGCUCAGUUGGUUAGAGCGUGGUGCUAAUAUCAGGUAAUUUACUUGGCUUCUGGCCAAGGAAAUAAUCGAUAUAUAGUAACGCCAAGGUCGCAGGUUCGACCCCUGCAGGGACCA
Ascodesmis nigricans is the source of this 123-nucleotide non-coding RNA. The record is from the annotation of a GenBank genome assembly. Lineage: Eukaryota; Fungi; Ascomycota; Pezizomycetes; Pezizales; Ascodesmidaceae.